AUUGCUUAUUGCUUAUUGCUUAUUGCUUAUUCCGAUUAUGUCUUCCAAGUUUAGGUGUAUGAGACUAUUCCGAUUAUCGGAAUGAAAUAUGCUAAUCAUGUUGCUAAGAGUUGCCCAUGGAUUUUAAAUUGGAGUGCUACUUCCACAUCGAGGUUCACCGAGCUCCAACAAAUCUUUUUGGACUACAAUUUAUCUUUGUGUUCGUUGCUUAAACCUACUUUGGAGGAAUGUCAACAAGAUUAUUACAAGUAUUUGAAUAAGUUAGGGUCAGUGAAUGGUGUUCCUCCAUAAAUUUUAAGCCAACCAACAACCCCAGAACAUGAUACUAUGGGUGACCUAAAAGAUGAAGAUCACCCGGUUGAAGCUACUGCAUAUGUUGCUGUUGCUGCUGCUAUAUUGGAAAACAAGAACAAAAAUGAUUAUUCUAUCCCACUUUCAAUUGAGCUUCCUUUCACAGACCCUAAAAAGAGAAGGAAAAUUAGAAAGGAAGGGGAAACAACAUUUGACUUCAAUCAUUUGCAAUAUAUUUUUGAGGAAGCAAGAGAAGCCUUUCAUAAGUGGUUGAGUCUUCAACAAGGCAUAUUGAUGUUGCUUUCUACUUUUUCUGCAAGCGGAGAAUAGAAAAGCCCCAUGCAUUUUCUCAAAAUUUUACCACCACAGAUACAAUGUUUUGGAGCAAAAUGUGAAAGCAAGGUGGGAGAAGCAUGCUAAAAAGUGGAAUCAAUUCCAAAUGCAAGCAGAUGAUAUUCUUAUUAACUAUGUUAAUGGGCUUCACCCAAUUCUUUCCAUGAAAUGGUCUGAGGUGGACAUCAUCUAUGUCCCUAUUAAUGUCUGAAGUAUGCAUUGGGUAUUAGGAGUAGUUCACCUUGCUCAAAGGAGAAUAUUUGUGUGUGACUCAUUGAUAGACAUUAAUAGUGAUAAUCGACUAAAAGGUGUCAUAAUACCUUUAGUUAAAGUGUUACCGCAUAUUUUGCAUGCUACAUCAUAUUAUGAGAAGAGCGGUGAUCCUAAGAGUUAAGAACAGUGGGACAUUGAACAAUUGCAUGAUGUUCCUCAACAAGAGUAUGAUGGUGAUUGUGGGAUGUUCCUAAUUAAAUAUGCAGAAUACUUAAUGCAUGAUCAUCCAUUCAGCUCACUAACCGAUGCCUGCAUUGAUUGGUUUAAAGAGAAAAUGACAACUGAAUUGUUAUACUUCAAAAAUUUACCCAUGUAGUGGGUUUCAUUUUGAUUAUGUAAAAGGUUGUUGAGUGUUGGUUAUUUUGGAUGAAUUUGACUUG
Vitis riparia (riverbank grape) is the source of this 1277-nucleotide RNA transcript. RefSeq lists it as uncharacterized. The transcript is spliced from 6 exons. NCBI's taxonomy places the organism in Eukaryota, Viridiplantae, Streptophyta, Magnoliopsida, Vitales, Vitaceae. The record is from RefSeq and is a predicted model, not a curated record.